CGCAGCUGAUGGAGCACACCGCGUGAGUGAAGAAGGGUUUCGGCUCGUAAAGCUCUGUUGUUAAAGAAGAACACGUAUGAGAGUAACUGUUCAUACGUUGACGGUAUUUAACCAGAAAGUCACGGCUAACUACGUGCCAGCAGCCGCGGUAAUACGUAGGUGGCAAGCGUUAUCCGGAUUUAUUGGGCGUAAAGAGAGUGCAGGCGGUUUUCUAAGUCUGAUGUGAAAGCCUUCGGCUUAACCGGAGAAGUGCAUCGGAAACUGGAUAACUUGAGUGCAGAAGAGGGUAGUGGAACUCCAUGUGUAGCGGUGGAAUGCGUAGAUAUAUGGAAGAACACCAGUGGCGAAGGCGGCUACCUGGUCUGCAACUGACGCUGAGACUCGAAAGCAUGGGUAGCGAACAGGAUUAGAUACC
RNAcentral lists this ribosomal RNA (415 nucleotides) under Limosilactobacillus fermentum. RNAcentral's name for it is "bacterial SSU rRNA". It matches the Rfam family "Bacterial small subunit ribosomal RNA", at positions 378 to 786 of the family's 1533-position model. Lineage: Bacteria; Bacillati; Bacillota; Bacilli; Lactobacillales; Lactobacillaceae. The record is from RNAcentral.